This 235-nucleotide ribosomal RNA is filed under the name uncultured Actinomycetales bacterium. Its description in RNAcentral is "partial 16S ribosomal RNA". It matches the Rfam family "Bacterial small subunit ribosomal RNA", at positions 96 to 334 of the family's 1533-position model. Lineage: Bacteria; Bacillati; Actinomycetota; Actinomycetes; Actinomycetales. The record is from RNAcentral.
UGGCGAACGGGUGAGUAACACGUGGGUGAUCUGCCCUGCACUCUGGGAUAAGCCUGGGAAACUGGGUCUAAUACCGGAUAGGACCAUGCUUUAGUGUGUGUGGCGGAAAGUUUUUUCGGUGUAGGAUGAGCCCGCGGCCUAUCAGCUUGUUGGUGGGGUAAUGGCCUACCAAGGCGGCGACGGGUAGCCGGACUGAGAGGUUGGUCGGCCACAUUGGGACUGAGAUACGGCCCAG